UAACGCGAAGAACCUUACCAGGUCUUGACAUCCUUUGACCACUCUAGAGAUAGAGCUUUCCCUUCGGGGACAAAGUGACAGGUGGUGCAUGGUUGUCGUCAGCUCGUGUCGUGAGAUGUUGGGUUAAGUCCCGCAACGAGCGCAACCCUUAUUACUAGUUGCCAGCAUUAAGUUGGGCACUCUAGUGAGACUGCCGGUGACAAACCGGAGGAAGGUGGGGACGACGUCAAAUCAUCAUGCCCCCUAUGACCUGGGCUACACACGUGCUACAAUGGAUGGUACAACGAGUUGCGAGACCGCGAGGUUUAGCUAAUCUCUUAAAACCAUUCUCAGUUCGGAUUGUAGGCUGCAACUCGCCUACAUGAAGCCGGAAUCGCUAGUAAUCGCGGAUCAGCAUGCCGCGGUGAAUACGUUCCCGGGCCUUGUACACACCG
RNAcentral lists this ribosomal RNA (434 nucleotides) under uncultured bacterium. Its description in RNAcentral is "bacterial SSU rRNA". It matches the Rfam family "Bacterial small subunit ribosomal RNA", at positions 957 to 1392 of the family's 1533-position model. The record is from RNAcentral.